CCUACGGGCGGCAGCAGUGAGGAAUAUUGGUCAAUGGCCGUAAGGCUGAACCAGCCAAGUAGCGUGAGGGAAGACUGCCCUAUGGGUUGUAAACCUCUUUUAUGCGGGGAUAAAGGUGUCCACGUGUGGAUGUUUGCAGGUACCGCAUGACUAAGGACCGGCUAAUUCCGUGCCAGCAGCCGCGGUAUUACGGAGGGUCCGGGCGUUAUCCGGAUUUAUUGGGUUUAAAGGGAGCGUAGGCCGGUCUUUAGGCGUGCCGUGAACUUGUGUGGCUCAACCAGGAGAGUGCGGCGCGAACUGGAGACCUUGAGUGCGCGGAAGGCAGGCGGAAUUCGUGGUGUAGCGGUGGAAUGCUUAGAUAUCACGAAGAACCCCGAUGGCGAAGGCAGCCUUCCGGCGCCCUACUGACGCUGAGGCACGAAAGUGCGGGGAUCGAACAGGAUUAGAUACCCGUGUAGUC
This 460-nucleotide ribosomal RNA is filed under the name uncultured bacterium. RNAcentral describes it as "partial 16S ribosomal RNA". It matches the Rfam family "Bacterial small subunit ribosomal RNA", at positions 338 to 795 of the family's 1533-position model. The record is from RNAcentral.